CCUACGGGAGGCAGCAGUGAGGAAUAUUGGUCAAUGGGCGAGAGCCUGAACCAGCCAAGUCGCGUGAGGGAGUACUGCCCUAUGGGUUGUAAACCUCUUUUGUCGGGGAGCAAAAGCCGGACGUGUCCGGCUGUGAGAGUACCCGAAGAAAAAGCAUCGGCUAACUCCGUGCCAGCAGCCGCGGUAAUACGGAGGAUGCGAGCGUUAGCCGGAUUUAUUGGGUUAAAGGGGUGCGCAGGCGGAGUUUGAAGUUAGCGGUAAAAUCGUGGGGCUCAACCCCAUCCAGCCGUUGAAACUGGGGAUCUAGAGUGUGCGAGAGGUAUGCGGAAUGCGUGGUGUAGCGGUGAAAUGCAUAGAUAUCACGCAGAACCCCGAUUGCGAAGGCAGCAUACCGGUGCACAACUGACGCUCAGGCACGAAAGCGUGGGUAUCGAACAGGAUUAGAUACCCUGGUAGUC
Molecule: ribosomal RNA, 458 nt
Filed under: uncultured bacterium
Lineage: Bacteria
Description: partial 16S ribosomal RNA
Rfam family: Bacterial small subunit ribosomal RNA
Source: RNAcentral